CCUUCGAUAGCUCAGUUGGUAGAGCGGUGGACUGUAGAAAGUUUCGGAGGAGAUCGUGCAGAAAGAGAUUUGCACCAGCAAAACUCCAUGAUCACCUGAAAACAAUAGAAAUCCAUAGGUCACUGGUUCAAAUCCGGUUCGAAGGA
RNAcentral lists this transfer RNA (146 nucleotides) under Anopheles dirus. Its description in RNAcentral is "tRNA tRNA-Tyr". It matches the Rfam family "tRNA". Rfam says of the family: Transfer RNA (tRNA) molecules are approximately 80 nucleotides in length. Their secondary structure includes four short double-helical elements and three loops (D, anti-codon, and T loops). Further hydrogen bonds mediate the characteristic L-shaped molecular structure. tRNAs have two regions of fundamental functional importance: the anti-codon, which is responsible for specific mRNA codon recognition, and the 3' end, to which the tRNAs corresponding amino acid is attached (by aminoacyl-tRNA synthetases). tRNAs cope with the degeneracy of the genetic code in two manners: having more than one tRNA (with a specific anti-codon) for a particular amino acid; and 'wobble' base-pairing, i.e. permitting non-standard base-pairing at the 3rd anti-codon position. Lineage: Eukaryota; Metazoa; Arthropoda; Insecta; Diptera; Culicidae. The record is from RNAcentral.